GUAGUACUCCCUCCGUUCGGAAAUACUCGUCCAAGAAAUGAAUGCAUUUAGAUGUAUUUUAGUUGUAGAUACAUCCAAUUUUGUGACGAGUAAUUCUGAACGGAGGGAGUAGGUC
Triticum aestivum (bread wheat) is the source of this 115-nucleotide non-coding RNA. Lineage: Eukaryota; Viridiplantae; Streptophyta; Magnoliopsida; Poales; Poaceae. The record is from Rfam.